UGGGUUUUUUGAGGGUGAAGGUAACCAAAAAGGCAAAAGGGUGAGUCUGUGAGAGUCACGUACUUCGAACAAGAGCAAGAAGGGCUAGCAACUUUUUCUUGCUCUUCAAUACAUAGUUCGUGAGACGACCCAGGGUUGCUCUAGCGUGGAUAUCAGUAGAGGCAGGACGGCUGGAUUACUCAAGGGCUGAACAUCCUCAACAACACUACAGGGAGAUGCCGCAAGGAUUAAGUGUCCCUAAAACCUAACAGGGGCAACAUGAGGAAGGUCAGAAUAUGAGAAUUGGAAUCACAGCAGAAAACAAUCUGAGUCAGUUACUUGCAGCUUGGAUACUGAAGGAAAGAAGUACUGGAUCAAUUGUACUGGACAGCUUGCAGGCUAUCAAAUUGGCCCUAUGCAAGACCAAGGAACAAGGUUGGCAGUCAAUAAAGAUCCAAACAUCCUGUACUCGGGUUCUAAAAUUGACAAGGAGUCAAGCCUCAAGAGACAUAGGCCUUUCAGCUCAACUAGAGGACAUAAGAGACCUUAGCUCAAUGUUUAUAGGAAAUGCUCAUUUGAUAGGUCGUCUGUUGAACUUAAUAGACUAAGUGUAUGACUGAGUCAACAUGCAACACAUAUACAUUUUGAUGACGAAUUUCCAGAUCCUCAGUUUCUUAUUACACUUUUGUAUAGCUCAAGAUGAGCCCUUGCUCAUAUAGUGUAAUGCUUUUUUUACUAUCAAUAAAUCUAUUUAUCAUUUCC
Molecule: non-coding RNA, 741 nt
Organism: Coffea arabica (coffee)
Lineage: Eukaryota; Viridiplantae; Streptophyta; Magnoliopsida; Gentianales; Rubiaceae
Source: RefSeq, a predicted model, not a curated record